UACGAAGGGGGCUAGCGUUGCUCGGAAUCACUGGGCGUAAAGCGUACGUAGGCGGAUCUUUAAGUCAGGGGUGAAAUCCUGGAGCUCAACUCCAGAACUGCCUUUGAUACUGAGGACCUUGAGUUCGGGAGAGGUGAGUGGAACUGCGAGUGUAGAGGUGAAAUUCGUAGAUAUUCGCAAGAACACCAGUGGCGAAGGCGGCUCACUGGCCCGAUACUGACGCUGAGGUGCGAAAGCGUGGGGAGCGAACAGG
Molecule: ribosomal RNA, 253 nt
Filed under: uncultured bacterium
Lineage: Bacteria
Description: partial 16S ribosomal RNA
Rfam family: Bacterial small subunit ribosomal RNA
Source: RNAcentral